UGGACAGAUUAUUGUAUUCGACUGUAUUCGCAGCGUGAAACAAGGGAUUACACUGUUAACGAAAAGUAAAUCAAUUAACAUAAUAGACUCAU
Molecule: microRNA precursor, 92 nt
Filed under: Nicotiana sylvestris (wood tobacco)
Lineage: Eukaryota; Viridiplantae; Streptophyta; Magnoliopsida; Solanales; Solanaceae
Also listed under: 1 other name
Description: MIR6152 microRNA precursor family
Rfam family: MIR6152 microRNA precursor family
Source: Rfam by way of RNAcentral